AAGGUCUCAAUUCAGACAGGAACACCCGCUGAACUUAA
RNAcentral lists this ribosomal RNA (38 nucleotides) under Synchytrium collapsum. Its description in RNAcentral is "partial 28S ribosomal RNA". Lineage: Eukaryota; Fungi; Chytridiomycota; Chytridiomycetes; Synchytriales; Synchytriaceae. The record is from RNAcentral.